This 1415-nucleotide ribosomal RNA is filed under the name metagenome. RNAcentral describes it as "bacterial SSU rRNA". It matches the Rfam family "Bacterial small subunit ribosomal RNA". The record is from RNAcentral.
AGAGUUUGAUCAUGGCUCAGAUUGAACGCUGGCGGCAGGCUUAAGACAUGCAAGUCGAGCGGAAACGAUGGAGCUUGCUCCAGGCGUCGAGCGGCGGACGGGUGAGUAACGCGUAGGAAUCUGCCCAGUAGUGGGGGACAGCUCGAGGAAACUCGAAUUAAUACCGCAUACGCCCUACGGGGGAAAGCAGGGGAUUUUCGGACCUUGCGCUAUUGGAGGAGCCUGCGUUGGAUUAGCUUGUUGGUGGGGUAAUGGCCCACCAAGGCGACGAUCCAUAGCUGGUCUGAGAGGAUGAUCAGCCACACCGGAACUGAGACACGGUCCGGACUCCUACGGGAGGCAGCAGUCGGGAAUAUUGGACAAUGGGGGCAACCCUGAUCCAGCCAUGCCGCGUGUGUGAAGAAGGCCCUAGGGUUGUAAAGCACUUUAAGUAGUGAAGAAGGCUGUAAGGUUAAUAACCUUGCGGAUUGACAUUAGCUACAGAAUAAGCACCGGCUAACUCCGUGCCAGCAGCCGCGGUAAUACGGAGGGUGCAAGCGUUAAUCGGAAUUACUGGGCGUAAAGCGCGCGUAGGUGGUUUGGUAAGUCAGAUGUGAAAGCCCAGGGCUUAACCUUGGAACUGCACCUGAUACUGCCAGGCUAGAGUACGGUAGAGGGAGGUAGAAUUCCACGUGUAGCGGUGAAAUGCGUAGAGAUGUGGAGGAAUACCAGUGGCGAAGGCGGCCUCCUGGACUGAUACUGACACUGAGGCGCGAAAGCGUGGUUAGCAAACAGGAUUAGAUACCCUGGUAGUCCACGCUGUAAACGAUGUCAACUAGCCGUUGGGAACCUUAGUGUUCUUAGUGGCGCAGCUAACGCGCUAAGUUGACCGCCUGGGGAGUACGGUCGCAAGAUUAAAACUCAAAUGAAUUGACGGGGGCCCGCACAAGCGGUGGAGCAUGUGGUUUAAUUCGACGCAACGCGAAGAACCUUACCUGGUCUUGACAUCCUCAGAACUUUCCAGAGAUGGAUUGGUGCCUUCGGGAACUGAGUGACAGGUGCUGCAUGGCUGUCGUCAGCUCGUGUCGUGAGAUGUUGGGUUAAGUCCCGUAACGAGCGCAACCCUUGUCCUUAUUUGCCAUCAUUUAGUUGGGCACUCUAGGGAGACUGCCGGUGACAAACCGGAGGAAGGUGGGGACGACGUCAAGUCAUCAUGGCCCUUACGACCAGGGCUACACACGUGCUACAAUGGAAUGUACAAAGGGUUGCGACCUCGCGAGAGUAAGCUAAUCCCAUAAAACAUUUCGUAGUCCGGAUCGCAGUCUGCAACUCGACUGCGUGAAGUCGGAAUCGCUAGUAAUCGCGAAUCAGAAUGUCGCGGUGAAUACGUUCCCGGGCCUUGUACACACCGCCCGUCACACCAUGGGAGUGGGUUG